Long non-coding RNA from Myotis myotis, 403 nucleotides. RefSeq lists it as uncharacterized. Lineage: Eukaryota; Metazoa; Chordata; Mammalia; Chiroptera; Vespertilionidae. The record is from RefSeq and is a predicted model, not a curated record. The transcript has 4 exons.
UGCAGGCUGAUGCUCUAUCCAUUAGCCAAACCAGCUAGGGUGGGAAUAGGUUUUGAUUUAAAAACAGACGUUGUUUGAUGAGUUAUUCCUACCAUUUUGGUUCUAGUUGAGAACAGGUACGAGCCCGAUAGCGGUGGUCGCCCGUGUGAUGCCAGUUUCUCUGAAGAAUUGUCCUUCAGGGGGCCUGGCUUCCUACAGCAGAGGCACACUCACUCUCCUCCCCCUUGUUGGAGAGGCUGCGGGAAGGACUGACCUGAAUGCUUCGUUGCUGGAGCUUUUCUCCCCCAAAGCUGCCUAAUGCAACUGUGAGGACUCAGAGCCAGAUGACCAGCUUGGACAUGCAUAUUCCAGUGAAUGAAAAGAAAAUAGGAUUCCACCAAGUCUCCUAUCUACCUACUCCAGG